GUGGCGAACGGGUGAGUAACACGUGGGUGAUCUGCCCUGCACUUCGGGAUAAGCCUGGGAAACUGGGUCUAAUACCGGAUAGGACCACGGGAUGCAUGUCUUGUGGUGGAAAGCGCUUUAGCGGUGUGGGAUGAGCCCGCGGCCUAUCAGCUUGUUGGUGGGGUGACGGCCUACCAAGGCGACGACGGGUAGCCGGCCUGAGAGGGUGUCCGGCCACACUGGGACUGAGAUACGGCCCAGACUCCUACGGGAGGCAGCAGUGGGGAAUAUUGCACAAUGGGCGCAAGCCUGAUGCAGCGACGCCGCGUGGGGGAUGACGGCCUUCGGGUUGUAAACCUCUUUCACCAUCGACGAAGGUCCGGGUUCUCUCGGAUUGACGGUAGGUGGAGAAGAAGCACCGGCCAACUACGUGCCAGCAGCUGCGGUAAUACGUAGGGUGCGAGCGUUGUCCGGAAUUACUGGGCGUAAAGAGCUCGUAGGUGGUUUGUCGCGUUGUUCGUGAAAUCUCACGGCUUAACUGUGAGCGUGCGGGCGAUACGGGCAGACUAGAGUACUGCAGGGGAGACUGGAAUUCCUGGUGUAGCGGUGGAAUGCGCAGAUAUCAGGAGGAACACCGGUGGCGAAGGCGGGUCUCUGGGCAGUAACUGACGCUGAGGAGCGAAAGCGUGGGGAGCGAACAGGAUUAGAUACCCUGGUAGUCCACGCCGUAAACGGUGGGUACUAGGUGUGGGUUUCCUUCCUUGGGAUCCGUGCCGUAGCUAACGCAUUAAGUACCCCGCCUGGGGAGUACGGCCGCAAGGCUAAAACUCAAAGGAAUUGACGGGGGCCCGCACAAGCGGCGGAGCAUGUGGAUUAA
RNAcentral lists this ribosomal RNA (856 nucleotides) under Mycobacterium tuberculosis. RNAcentral's name for it is "bacterial SSU rRNA". It matches the Rfam family "Bacterial small subunit ribosomal RNA", at positions 95 to 949 of the family's 1533-position model. Lineage: Bacteria; Bacillati; Actinomycetota; Actinomycetes; Mycobacteriales; Mycobacteriaceae. The record is from RNAcentral.